CCUACGGUGGCUGCAGUGGGGAAUAUUGGACAAUGGGCGAAAGCCUGAUCCAGCCAUGCCGCGUGUGUGAAGAAGGCCUUCGGGUUGUAAAGCACUUUCAGUGGGGAAGAAAGCCUUGGGGCUAAUACCCUCGAGGAAGGACAUCACCCACAGAAGAAGCACCGGCUAACUCCGUGCCAGCAGCCGCGGUAAUACGGAGGGUGCGAGCGUUAAUCGGAAUUACUGGGCGUAAAGCGCGCGUAGGCGGUCUGAUAAGCCGGUUGUGAAAGCCCCGGGCUCAACCUGGGAACGGCAUCCGGAACUGUCAGGCUAGAGGGCAGGAGAGGAAGGUAGAAUUCCCGGUGUAGCGGUGAAAUGCGUAGAGAUCGGGAGGAAUACCAGUGGCGAAGGCGGCCUUCUGGACUGACACUGACGCUGAGGUGCGAAAGCGUGGGUAGCAAACAGGAUUAGAUACCCUUGUAGUC
RNAcentral lists this ribosomal RNA (464 nucleotides) under Vreelandella stevensii. RNAcentral's name for it is "partial 16S ribosomal RNA". It matches the Rfam family "Bacterial small subunit ribosomal RNA", at positions 338 to 795 of the family's 1533-position model. Lineage: Bacteria; Pseudomonadati; Pseudomonadota; Gammaproteobacteria; Oceanospirillales; Halomonadaceae. The record is from RNAcentral.